GGAGGGCUCGGGGACUGGGGUCCCUGCUCCCGAGGAGGGUGCACAGCUGGGGGGGACGCAGGCAGAGGAUCCACCUCUCGAGGGGGUGCACAGCGGGGGAAAUGGGGUGGGCGCAGGCGGUGGGUCCCGGUCCCGCGGUGGGGUGCAGGCAGCCCCCCCAAGAGCUGCGGGGACGGUGUCCAGCGGAACAAGGGGGUUCCCUGUUUGCCGGAGGCUCAGAGCCCCGGCUGCAGCUCCAAGCACUCACCUGAGCCCGGCAGGGCAGAGUCCCCAGCAAAGUUGGGCUCCAGCUCCUCCCGCGGCUGCGCGCAGACUCAGCGCGGCGCCGGUGCAGCCCACAGCCCUAGCCUGGGAAGCUGCCGACCCCGCCCCCCUCUCCCUGCCCGGCCCCCGCCGCGGCUGCAGCCAGCCGGCGCCUCGCGCAGGGGUAGCCCGCCUGCCACUCACCGCGCUCGCGCCCCCCCGCUCCCCAGGAAAGCCGCCCGGGGAGCUGCUUUGUCCCGGCGCUGGCUGGGGAGCAGCAGGGUGGGUGGGACCUUGCAGAGCCAGUGCGGCGGGGCCCGGGCUUGGGGCGGGGCGGGCAGAGUUGCGCUGCGUGUUUUCCUGCAGCGAGAGAGGGAGGCGGCUGGAGGUUACUGCACUUGCUGGGCCUUGAGAGCGGGCCUGGGAACCGCUGGGGGCAGGGCAAGGGCCGGGGGCGGGACAGAUGGGGCUGUGCAACGUGACCUGCCAAGGGCAGCCCUUGGCACAACAGGUCCUCACUCACCCCGGGCCUCCCCCUCCGCGCCCACACGCUGGAAUCAGAGGCGUUACCGCGCUGCAAGACUACGGGAGCGAAGUCCGGCCCCUGGUUGCAAAGGAAGACGGUGGAGUUUACAUGCGCCCGGAGUUGAGCCUGCAGAGAUUCCGUGUGGCGCUGAAGUGCCUCCCCGAGAGAGGGCUGAACAUCUGCCAAGAAAGCCCGGAGCCCAGCUUUCACAGUACUUAAUAACUACCAUCAACUGGGGAUCCUAG
RNAcentral lists this long non-coding RNA (1014 nucleotides) under Chrysemys picta bellii (western painted turtle). Its description in RNAcentral is "lncRNA (ENSCPBG00000005914.1)". Lineage: Eukaryota; Metazoa; Chordata; Testudines; Emydidae. The record is from RNAcentral.